CAAUAGCGUAUAUUAAAGUUGUUGCGGUUAAAAAGUUCGUAGUUGGAUUUCUGCCAAGGACGACCGGUCCGCCCUCUGGGUGAGUAUCUGGCUUGGCCUGGGCAUCUUCUUGGAGAACGUUGCUGCACUUCACUGUGUGGUGCGGUAUCCAGGACCUUUACUUUGAGGAAAUUAGAGUGUUUCAAGCCUAGGCUUCCGCCUUGAAUACAUUAGCAUGGAAUAAUAAGAUAGGACCUCGGUUCUAUUUUGUUGGUUUCUAGAGCUGGGGUAAUGAUUAAUAGGGAUAGUUGGGGGCAUUCGUAUUUAACUGUCAGAGGUGAAAUUCUUGGAUUUGUUAAAGACGGACUACUGCGAAANCANNNGCCAAGGAUGUUUUCAUNGA
This 382-nucleotide ribosomal RNA is filed under the name uncultured eukaryote. RNAcentral's name for it is "partial 18S ribosomal RNA". It matches the Rfam family "Eukaryotic small subunit ribosomal RNA", at positions 592 to 976 of the family's 1831-position model. The record is from RNAcentral.